UUGUCUAAACGGCAGUCACUAAUCUCAAUCGGAGCUCAAUCGUGUACUGCUUUGCUUUGAUUGAUUGAAAAGUAAUCGUCAAUCACCAAUCGCAAUCUCAAUCCAAUCGGCAAUCGCUAGUGUGAUUACGGUUUAAGGGGCUCCGCACAAUAAAAGGAAUAGGGAACAGAGAACAGAGAAUAAGAAUUUCAACCUAUCAGAAAUCAUGUAUUGUGGAACAUACACAGUUGCGCAGCAACGCACAAGCUUAUGUAUAAACAUGGCAUAAACGCGAAAAUGCCACAACUAACCAGAUUUUAUGGAAUGAUUUUUUUAACCUCUUCUUGUGCUUCGUGUCUGCUCGUGCCGCUCGUUCCUUGUAAUAGUUGUUAAUUCCGCCUUAUUGCGCAAAAUAAACUGAGAAGAACAAGGAUAUUAAAAUAUAAGAAAAUUUUGGUGUAAGUGGCGAAAAAUAAACUUGUUGCAGAAUUCUUAGAACGUGCAAAUAAUUGUGUCUCCAUCAAGAUACAGUCUUGAAAAAAAUUUUGACGCAAGUGGUGAAAAAUAAAUGUCUCCUGCAAAUGCGACAUCUUUGAACAAUCUUUACACAGAUUGCAUCUGAAUUCAAGGCAUAUAUACUCGAAAAGUUUAGACUUAAAUAAAAAAAGAAUCAAGGAGUUCCACAAA
This is a long non-coding RNA of Acromyrmex echinatior (Panamanian leafcutter ant), 666 nucleotides long. RefSeq lists it as uncharacterized. Lineage: Eukaryota; Metazoa; Arthropoda; Insecta; Hymenoptera; Formicidae. The record is from RefSeq and is a predicted model, not a curated record.